CCUACGGGAGGCAGCAGUGGGGAAUAUUGGACAAUGGGCGAAAGCCUGAUCCAGCAAUGCCGCGUGAGUGAUGAAGGCCUUAGGGUUGUAAAGCUCUUUUACCCGGGAUGAUAAUGACAGUACCGGGAGAAUAAGCUCCGGCUAACUCCGUGCCAGCAGCCGCGGUAAUACGGAGGGAGCUAGCGCUGUUCGGAAUUACUGGGCGUAAAGCGCGCGUAGGCGGUUUUUCAAGUCAGAGGUGAAAGCCUGGAGCUCAACUCCAGAACUGCCUUUGAAACUGGAUGACUUGAGUCUUGGAGAGGUCAGUGGAAUUCCGAGUGUAGAGGUGAAAUGCUUAGAUAUCGUCAAGAACACCGAUAGCGAAGGCAGCUUACUAGACUGUAACUGACACUGAUGCACGAAAGUGUGGGGAUCAAACAGGAUUAGAUACCCUGGUAGUCCACACUGUAAACGAUGAUUACUCGAUGUUGGCGAUACACAGCCAGCGUCUUAGCGAAAGCGAUAAGUAAUCCACCUGGGGAGUACGCCCGCAAGGGUGAAACUCAAAUGAAUUGACGG
This 558-nucleotide ribosomal RNA is filed under the name uncultured bacterium. RNAcentral describes it as "bacterial SSU rRNA". It matches the Rfam family "Bacterial small subunit ribosomal RNA", at positions 338 to 916 of the family's 1533-position model. The record is from RNAcentral.